RNAcentral lists this long non-coding RNA (391 nucleotides) under Bos taurus (domestic cattle). RNAcentral's name for it is "long non-coding RNA NONBTAT015666". Lineage: Eukaryota; Metazoa; Chordata; Mammalia; Artiodactyla; Bovidae. The record is from RNAcentral.
UUCACAACAGACACUUUCCCUAAGAAUCUUAAACUGAUUUUUUAAAAUCCUAUAAAUUAGAAGGGGCUCUAGCUAUUUUCUGUGUCAAUCUUCAUUUUAAAUAUGGAUACAAAGGAUAUACCAAGCCAAUCAAAGACAAGCUUUAACUUUACUUUGGAGAUGUUUCUGAAAUGGUAAAAUGUAGCCCUAGCCCCUUCCCCUCAGUUGUAAAGUGAGCAACCAUUGCUAGUAAUUCUCUAAUGUGUAUAAAUUCAAUUUCAGGUAUAACAAAUGUGAUCAUGACAUGAAAAUAUUUUAGAAUAGAUACUGUAUUCAAUAUUGCCAUGUUUACAAUAUGUAAUAUGUUUUUUAGCCGAUGGAUUUAAACAUGUAGAUUCAACUAGAAUCCAUU